GUCAUCUCCUCGGGAACUGACGUGCGGGCCCCACAUUCCAGUUUCUCAGCCCACCAGCUCAGAACUCUCCUCUCUCUCUGGACGACGCGGCGGCGGCGGCCGAGCGGCGUCGCCGGAGUUGGAGAGGCUGGCCAUGGGAGUCCGCGGCGGUGGAAGCGCGCUGGGACGGGCUGGGGCCUCCAGCUCCAAGCGCACGAAGCAAGGAGGACGGGGUGGGGCCAAGCGCACGAAGCAAGGAGGGAGGCAGAGAGCGACCGAGCCCGGGGACGCACACCAGGUGUUCGACAGAUUGCUCAAGCGAGGCGACCGUGCCUCCAUCUUCGACCUCAACCGCGCCCUCUCCGACGUCGCGCGUGCCAGCCCCGCCGUCGCCAUCUCCCUCUUCAACCGCAUGCCCAGAGCCGGCGCCACCAGUGCGGCUCCCAAUAUCGCCACCUACGGCAUCGUCAUUGGCUGCUGCCGCCGCCUCGGCCGCUUGGACCUCGCUUUCGCCACCGUCGGCCGUGUCAUCACGACGGGGUUGAGGAUGAGCCCAAUCCUCUUCAGUCCUCUUCUCAAGGGCCUCUGUGACCGCAGGAGGACGAGCGAUGCGAUGGACAUUGUGCUGCGACGAAUGCCCGAGCUAGGUUGCAAGCCAGAUCUCUUCUCCUACACCAUUCUUCUCAAGGGUCUCUGUGAUGACAAGACAAGUCAACAAGCUCUCGACUUGCUCCAUAUCAUGGCUGAUCAUAAAGGGCGCUGCCCACUCGAUGUGGUGGCGUAUACCACUGUCAUCAAUGGCUUGCUUAGGGAGGGUCAGCUGGACAAAGCUUAUUCCCUGUUUGAUGCAAUGCUGGAUCGAGGGCCAUCACCAGAUGUUGUGACUUACAGCUCGAUUAUCAGUGCCCUAUCCAAGACUCAAGCAAUGGACAAGGCCACACAAGUCUUUACUAGGAUGGUUAAGAACGGUGUUAUGCCUGAUUGCAUCAUGUAUACUAGUCUUGUGCAUGGAUAUUGCUCUUCAGGAAAGCCCAAAGAGGCCAUUGGGAUUUUCAAAAAGAUGUGCAGACAUGGUGUUGAACCCGAUGUCGUUACUUAUACUGCGCUGAUGGACUAUCUAUGCAAGAAUGGGAAAAGCACAGAAGCUAGAAAGAUUUUUGAUUCUUUGGUCAAGAGGGGACACAAGCCUGAUAGCACUACCUAUGGUACUCUGCUUCAUGGCUAUGCUACUGAAGGAGCUCUUGUUGAGAUGCAUGAUCUUUUGGAUUUGAUGAUGAAGAAAGGUAUGCAACUUGGUCAUCAUAUCUUUAACAUGAUAAUGGGCGCAUAUGCUAAACAUAACAAGGUAGAUGAGGCCUUGCUUGUAUUUAGCAAUAUGAGGCAGCAAGGAUUGAACCCUGAUAUAGUCAACUAUGGAACAGUAUUAGACAUACUUUGUACAGCAGGCAGAGUGGAUGAUGCUUUGUCUCAAUUCAACAGCCUCAAAUCUGAAGGACUUGCUCCUAACAUUGUUGUUUUUACCACCCUAAUUCAUGGCCUGUGUACCUGUGACAAAUGGGACAAGGUUGAGGAGCUAGCUUUCGAAAUGAUCGAUCGCGGCAUCUGUCUUGACACAAUUUUCUUCAAUGCAAUAAUGGGCAACCUAUGCAAAAAAGGAAGGGUUAUAGAAGCCAAAAACUUGUUUGACUUGAUGGUGCGCAUAGGUAUUGAACCUAAUACUAAUACAUACAAUACACUCAUUGAUGGAUAUUGCUUAGAUGGUAAGAUGGAUGAAGCAAUGAAACUACUUGGAGUUAUGGUGUUCAAUGGGGUAAAACCUAGUGACGUUACCUAUAAUACCAUUAUUAAUGGUUACUCUCAAAAUGGUAGGAUAGAGGAUGGACUUACUCUUUUGAGAGAGAUGGAUGGCAAGGGUGUGAAUCCUGGCAUUGUUACAUAUGAGAUGCUGCUGCAAGGGUUAUUCCAGGCUGGAAGAACUGUAGCUGCAAAAGAACUCUAUCUCAGGAUGAUUAAGUGGGAUACGGUUUGAAUUUAGCACUUGCAACAUAAUCAGUCUGGUACUUUGCCAAAAUAGUUGCACCUCAGAUUCCCUCCAAUGGUUCAGAACCGUGUUUGAUGGAUUUACAGAUUGAGAAUAGAAAUGAUGACGCUGAGGAUUUGUUUGCUGCUCUCUCGACCAAUGGUUUAGUGACAAAUGUUGUGACCUACUGGUUAAUGAUAGAAAAUGUUGUAAAACAAGGGUUGCUAGAAGAAUUGGAUGAUUUAUUUCUUCAUAUGGAGAAGAGUGGCUGUACUAAGUUACUUCACAAAGAGCAGGUAUGCAAGGCUGGGGAUUACCUCUCCAUUCUCUAAAAUUAAUCAAGAGAACUUCCCCCUGAAGAGUCGUAGGCUGAGCUGCUGAUUGUGCUGGUUUCAUGUGGGAGACACGUUCAACAUAUAAAGUUUAUCCUGAAAAAUAUCGUCCUGUGUGAAAUCCCAGGCUCUUUGAUGAUACUGCCUGGCUGCCUGCUGUGGGGAUCGUUUUUUGUUUCUUAUGUGGGGAUUGUAGGUAUGAAGAGCACUCUUGUUACACUGUAUAUGAACUCCGGAGAAGUAAAAAUAACCCAAUUCCUAUUAUAGUUCUCUAA
This is a non-coding RNA of Oryza sativa Japonica Group (Japanese rice), 2606 nucleotides long. The record is from RefSeq and is a predicted model, not a curated record. Lineage: Eukaryota; Viridiplantae; Streptophyta; Magnoliopsida; Poales; Poaceae.